AUUUUCUUCAGCAGCAUAUACUAAAAAACUAGAAUGAUACAGACAAGAUUGGGAUGGCCCUGUGCAAGAAUGACAUGCAAAUACAUAAAGUGUUCCGUUUAAAA
Molecule: non-coding RNA, 104 nt
Organism: Otolemur garnettii (small-eared galago)
Lineage: Eukaryota; Metazoa; Chordata; Mammalia; Primates; Galagidae
Source: Rfam